AAGUCGUAACAAGGUUUCCGUAGGUGAACCUGCGGAAGGAUCAUUAUUGAAUUAAAAGAGCGAAAAAAAGGGUUGUUGCUGGCCUUUUAUUAUUGUAAUGGAAGGCAAUGUGCACGCUCUUUUCGCUCUUUUUAUCAACCACCUGUGCACCUUUUGUAGGCUUGGCUGAACAUUUAAGAAACUCUUAGGGGUCAGGUCAAUGUCUUUGCAUUGAUUUGGGUUUUGAGAGGUUUGCUGGCUUCUUAACGAGAGUCAGCUGCCUUUACGGAUUUCUUACAAGGUCAAUGCCUAUGUUUUUAA
This is an unclassified non-coding RNA of 300 nucleotides. The stretch from base 1 to 46 matches the Rfam family "Eukaryotic small subunit ribosomal RNA", at positions 1786 to 1831 of the family's 1831-position model.